Molecule: ribosomal RNA, 1944 nt
Filed under: Pseudomonas putida W15Oct28
Lineage: Bacteria; Pseudomonadati; Pseudomonadota; Gammaproteobacteria; Pseudomonadales; Pseudomonadaceae
Description: bacterial LSU rRNA
Rfam family: Bacterial large subunit ribosomal RNA
Source: RNAcentral
AGUGGGAAACGAUGUGGGAAGGCUUAGACAGCUAGGAGGUUGGCUUAGAAGCAGCCACCCUUUAAAGAAAGCGUAAUAGCUCACUAGUCGAGUCGGCCUGCGCGGAAGAUGUAACGGGGCUCAAACCAUGCACCGAAGCUACGGGUAUCAUCUUAUGAUGAUGCGGUAGAGGAGCGUUCUGUAAGCCUGUGAAGGUGAGUUGAGAAGCUUGCUGGAGGUAUCAGAAGUGCGAAUGCUGACAUGAGUAACGACAAUGCGAGUGAAAAACUCGCACGCCGAAAGACCAAGGUUUCCUGCGCAACGUUAAUCGACGCAGGGUUAGUNUGAUGCGGUAGAGGAGCGUUCUGUAAGCCUGUGAAGGUGAGUUGAGAAGCUUGCUGGAGGUAUCAGAAGUGCGAAUGCUGACAUGAGUAACGACAAUGCGAGUGAAAAACUCGCACGCCGAAAGACCAAGGUUUCCUGCGCAACGUUAAUCGACGCAGGGUUAGUCGGUCCCUAAGGCGAGGCUGAAAAGCGUAGUCGAUGGAAAACAGGUUAAUAUUCCUGUACUUCCAGUUAUUGCGAUGGAGGGACGGAGAAGGUUAGGCCAGCCUGGCGUUGGUUGUCCAGGUUUAAGGUGGUAGGCUGGAAUCUUAGGCAAAUCCGGGAUUCUAAGGCCGAGAGCUGAUGACGAGUUGCCAUUAGGCGACGAAGUGGUUGAUACCAUGCUUCCAAGAAAAGCUCCUAAGCUUCAGAUAACUGGGAACCGUACCCCAAACCGACACAGGUGGUUAGGUAGAGAAUACCAAGGCGCUUGAGAGAACUCGGGUGAAGGAACUAGGCAAAAUGGCACCGUAACUUCGGGAGAAGGUGCGCCGGCGAGGGUCAAGGACUUGCUCCGUAAGCCCAUGCCGGUCGAAGAUACCAGGCCGCUGCGACUGUUUAUUAAAAACACAGCACUCUGCAAACACGAAAGUGGACGUAUAGGGUGUGACGCCUGCCCGGUGCCGGAAGGUUAAUUGAUGGGGUUAGCGCAAGCGAAGCUCUUGAUCGAAGCCCCGGUAAACGGCGGCCGUAACUAUAACGGUCCUAAGGUAGCGAAAUUCCUUGUCGGGUAAGUUCCGACCUGCACGAAUGGCGUAACGAUGGCGGCGCUGUCUCCACCCGAGACUCAGUGAAAUUGAAAUCGCUGUGAAGAUGCAGUGUAUCCGCGGCUAGACGGAAAGACCCCGUGAACCUUUACUAUAGCUUUGCACUGGACUUUGAAUUUGCUUGUGUAGGAUAGGUGGGAGGCUUUGAAGUGGGGACGCCAGUUCUCAUGGAGCCAUCCUUGAAAUACCACCCUGGCAACUUUGAGGUUCUAACUCAGGUCCGUUAUCCGGAUCGAGGACAGUGUAUGGUGGGUAGUUUGACUGGGGCGGUCUCCUCCCAAAGAGUAACGGAGGAGUACGAAGGUGCGCUCAGACCGGUCGGAAAUCGGUCGUAGAGUAUAAAGGCAAAAGCGCGCUUGACUGCGAGACACACACGUCGAGCAGGUACGAAAGUAGGUCUUAGUGAUCCGGUGGUUCUGUAUGGAAGGGCCAUCGCUCAACGGAUAAAAGGUACUCCGGGGAUAACAGGCUGAUACCGCCCAAGAGUUCAUAUCGACGGCGGUGUUUGGCACCUCGAUGUCGGCUCAUCACAUCCUGGGGCUGAAGCCGGUCCCAAGGGUAUGGCUGUUCGCCAUUUAAAGUGGUACGCGAGCUGGGUUUAGAACGUCGUGAGACAGUUCGGUCCCUAUCUGCCGUGGACGUUUGAGAUUUGAGAGGGGCUGCUCCUAGUACGAGAGGACCGGAGUGGACGAACCUCUGGUGUUCCGGUUGUCACGCCAGUGGCAUUGCCGGGUAGCUAUGUUCGGAAGAGAUAACCGCUGAAAGCAUCUAAGCGGGAAACUUGCCUCAAGAUGAGAUCUCACUGGGAUCUUGA